RNAcentral lists this ribosomal RNA (305 nucleotides) under uncultured bacterium. RNAcentral describes it as "bacterial SSU rRNA". It matches the Rfam family "Bacterial small subunit ribosomal RNA", at positions 335 to 657 of the family's 1533-position model. The record is from RNAcentral.
GGUCCUACGGGAGGCAGCAGUGGGGAAUAUUGCACAAUGGGGGAAACCCUGAUGCAGCGACGCCGCGUGAAGGAAGAAGUAUUUCGGUAUGUAAACUUCUAUCAGCAGGGAAGAGAAUGACGGUACCUGACUAAGAAGCCCCGGCUAACUACGUGCCAGCAGCCGCGGUAAUACGUAGGGAGCGAGCGUUGUCCGGAUUUACUGGGUGUAAAGGGUGCGUAGGCGGCUUGGCAAGUCAGUAGUGAAAUCCAUGGGCUUAACCCAUGAACUGCUAUUGAAACUGUCGAGCUUGAGUGAAGUAGAGG